This 869-nucleotide ribosomal RNA is filed under the name uncultured archaeon. RNAcentral describes it as "bacterial SSU rRNA". It matches the Rfam family "Archaeal small subunit ribosomal RNA", at positions 5 to 879 of the family's 1478-position model. The record is from RNAcentral.
CGGUUGAUCCUGCCGGAGGUCACUGCUAUUGGGAUUCGACUAAGCCAUGCGAGUCGAGAGGGUUCGGCCCUCGGCUGACGGCUCAGUAACACGUGGAUAAUCUGCCCUUAGGUGGAGGAUAAUCUCGGGAAACUGAGGAUAAUACUCCAUAGAUCUAGGAUGCUGGAAUGCAUCCAGAUUGAAAGCUCCGGCGCCUAAGGAUGAGUCUGCGGACUAUCAGGUUGUAGUCAGGGUAAAGACCUGACUAGCCUACGACGGAUACGGGUUGUGAGAGCAAUAACCCGGAGACGAUAUCUGAGACACGAUAUCGGGCCCUACGGGGCGCAGCAGGCGCGAAAACUUCACACUGUGCGAAAGCGCGAUGAGGGAAUCCCAAGUGUUUGCUCGUAAGAGUAAACUGUUUCUUUGUUUAAAACGCAGAGAGAGUAAGGGCUGGGUAAGACGGGUGCCAGCCGCCGCGGUAAUACCUGCAGCUCGAGUGGUGAUCAUUAUUAUUGGGCCUAAAACGUCCGUAGCCGGUUUAGUAAAUGCCUGGGUAAAUCGUGUAGCUUAACUAUACGACUUCCGGGUAGACUGCUAAACUUGAGACCGGGAGAGGCUAGAGGUACUCCUGGGGUAGAGGUGAAAUUCUGUAAUCCUAGGGGGACCACCAGUGGCGAAGGCGUCUAGCUAGAACGGGUCUGACGGUGAGGGACGAAGCCCUGGGGCACAAACCGGAUUAGAUACCCGGGUAGUCCAGGGUGUAAACGCUGCUUGCUUGAUGUUAGUUGGGCUCCGAGCCCAACUAGUGUCGGANAGAAGUUGUUAAGCAAGCUGCCUGGGAAGUACGGUCGCAAGGCUGAAACUUAAAGGAAUUGGCGGGGGAGCAC